AGUCUCUGCGGAAUCCAUCGGCUCNACCGAUGGGCGUUCAGGAGAUACUGGCAACCUAGGGACCGGGAGAGGUGAGAGGUACUCCAGGGGUAGGAGUGAAAUCCUGUAAUCCUUGGGGGACCACCUGUGGCGAAGGCGUCUCACUAGAACGGCUCCGACAGUGAGGGACGAAAGCUGGGGGAGCAAACCGGAUUAGAUACCCGGGUAGUCCCAGCUGUAAACGAUGCGCGUUAGGUGUAUCGGUGACCACGAGUCACCGAGGUGCCGAAGAGAAAUCGUGAAACGUGCCGCCUGGGAAGUACGGUCGCAAGGCUGAAACUUAAAGGAAUUGGCGGGGGAGCACCACAACAGGUGGAGCCUGCGGUUUAAUCGGACUCAACGCCGGGAAGCUCACCGGAUAAGACAGCUGAAUGAUAGCCGGGUUGAAGACUCUGCUUGACUAGCUGAGAGGAGGUGCAUGGCCGUCGUCAGUUCGUACUGUGAAGCAUCCUGUUAAGUCAGGCAACGAGCGAGACCCACGCCAACAGUUGCCAGCAUGUCCUCCGGGAUGGUGGGGACACUGUUGGGACCGCCUCUGCUAAAGAGGAGGAAGGAAUGGGCAACGGUAGGUCAGCAUGCCCCGAAUUAUCCGGGCUACACGCGGGCUACAAUGGUCAGGACAAUGGGUAUCAACACCGAAAGGUGAAGGCAAUCUCCUAAACCUGUCCUUAGUUCGGAUUGGGGGCUGCAACUCGCCCACAUGAAGCUGGAAUCUGUAGUAAUCGCUUCUCAAAUUGGCCCGAUGAUUAUGUCCCUGCCUCCUUCAC
This 806-nucleotide ribosomal RNA is filed under the name uncultured archaeon. RNAcentral's name for it is "bacterial SSU rRNA". It matches the Rfam family "Archaeal small subunit ribosomal RNA", at positions 536 to 1342 of the family's 1478-position model. The record is from RNAcentral.